GAUGAACGCUGGCGGCGUGCCUAAUACAUGCAAGUCGAGCGAACGGACGAUAAGCUUGCUUCUCUGAUGUUAGCGGCGGACGGGUGAGUAACACGUGGAUAACCUACCUAUAAGACUGGUAUAACUUCGGGAAACCGGAUCUAAUACCGGAUAAUAUUUUGAACCGCAUGGUUCAAAAGUGAAAGACGGUCUUGCUGUCACUUAUAGAUGGAUCCGCGCUGCAUUAGCUAGUUGGUAAGGUAACGGCUUACCAAGGCAACGAUGCAUAGCCGACCUGAGAGGGUGAUCGGCCACACUGGAACUGGGACAAGGUCCAGACUCCUACGGGAGGCAGCAGUAGGGAAUCUUCCGCAAUGGGCGAAAGCCUGACGGAGCAACGCCGCGUGAGUGAUGAAGGUCUUCGGAUCGUAAAAAUCUGUUAUUAGGGAAGAACAUAUGUGUAAGUAACUGUGCACAUCUUGACGGUACCUAAUCAGAAAGCAACGGCUAACUACGUG
This 497-nucleotide ribosomal RNA is filed under the name uncultured bacterium. RNAcentral's name for it is "partial 16S ribosomal RNA". It matches the Rfam family "Bacterial small subunit ribosomal RNA", at positions 28 to 507 of the family's 1533-position model. The record is from RNAcentral.